This 496-nucleotide ribosomal RNA is filed under the name uncultured bacterium. Its description in RNAcentral is "partial 16S ribosomal RNA". It matches the Rfam family "Bacterial small subunit ribosomal RNA", at positions 29 to 507 of the family's 1533-position model. The record is from RNAcentral.
AUGAACGCUGGCGGCGUGCCUAAUACCUUCAAGUCGAGCGAACAGACGAGGAGCUUUCUCCUCUGACGUUCUCGGCGGACGGGUUAUUAACACGUUGCUAACCUACCUAUAAGUCUGGGAUAACUUCGGGAAACCGGAGCUAAUACCGGAUAAUAUAUUUAACCGCUUGGUUCAAUAGUUAAAUACGGUUUUUCUGUCACUUAUAGAUUGAUCCUCGCCGCAUUAGCUAGUUGGUAAGGUAACGGCUUACCAAGGCAACGAUGCGUAGACGACCUGAGAGGGUGAUCGGACACACUGGAACGGAGACACGGAAAAGAGGACUACGGGAGGCAGCAGUAGGGAAUAUGCCGCAAAGGGGGAAAGGAUGACGGAGCAAAGCCGAGUGAGUGAAGAAGGACUUCGGAUCGUAAAACGAUGUUAGUAGGGAAGAAAAAAUGUGUAAGUAAAUAUGCACGUAUUGACGGUAACUAAUAAGAAAGCAACGGCUAACUACGUG